This 253-nucleotide ribosomal RNA is filed under the name uncultured bacterium. Its description in RNAcentral is "partial 16S ribosomal RNA". It matches the Rfam family "Bacterial small subunit ribosomal RNA", at positions 524 to 776 of the family's 1533-position model. The record is from RNAcentral.
UACGGAGGGUGCAAGCGUUGCUCGGAAUUAUUGGGCGUAAAGGGUAGGUAGGUGGUCUUAUUUGUCUGGGGUGAAAGCCUUGAGCUUAACUCAAGAAGUGCCCCAGAAACGGUGAGACUGGAGUCCUGGAGAGGAUCGUGGAAUUCCCGGUGUAGCGGUGAAAUGCGUAGAGAUCGGGAGGAACACCAGAGGCGAAAGCGGCGACCUGGACAGGCACUGACACUCAACUACGAAAGCGUGGGGAGCAAACAGG